Molecule: long non-coding RNA, 166 nt
Organism: Eurytemora carolleeae
Lineage: Eukaryota; Metazoa; Arthropoda; Copepoda; Calanoida; Temoridae
Exons: 4
Source: RefSeq, a predicted model, not a curated record
UGUAGAGUGAAGUUCUAUUGUGCAGAGGAAAAACUUGUGUACAUCUCUGUAAAUACAGACCAGGCUUGGAAAAUGCUGAAAAGGUGUUAUCAAUGAGCCCGGGAUGCAAUAAAGCUCGUUUUAUUAAGGCUGAGUGUCUGUUUGCCCUUGGUGAAUUUGAGAGAGC